RNAcentral lists this ribosomal RNA (510 nucleotides) under Triticum aestivum (bread wheat). RNAcentral describes it as "partial small subunit ribosomal RNA". Lineage: Eukaryota; Viridiplantae; Streptophyta; Magnoliopsida; Poales; Poaceae. The record is from RNAcentral.
AUGAAGUCGCUGGUGUUCAACGGCAACGGCUGCGCGGUGUACGGCCCCGACGGCGCAGUCACCUUCCGCGUCGACAACUACGGCUGCAGGGGCGGCCGCGAGGUCCUCCUCAUGGACCGCGCCGGCAACGCCCUCAUCACGAUCAGGCGCAAGGGCUUCGGCAUGUUCAAGAGGUGGGAGGUCCGCCGGUGCGCCCACAACGGCCACCAGGACGAGGAAGCGACGCCGUGGUUCAGCGUGCGGCGGGCCGAGAAGGGCGGGGCCGCCGUGGCGAUGCACGGCGGCGCGAGGACGUGCUACAGGAUCGACGGGUGCUCCGGCGCGCGCAAGCCCGAGUACAGAGUCCGCGGCGUGGAUGGCUCGGUCAUGGCGGAGGUGGCGCGGAAGCAGACGUCGGCCGGGGUGGUGCUGGGGGAGGACGUGCUGACGCUUACGGUGGCGCCGGAGGUGGAUCACCUGCUCGCCCUGGGCUUGGUCGUCGUGCGUGGCCUCAUCAACCGCUCCUUGUGA